UUUGUUUUCUGGUGGUUUUCCUCUGAUUACAAUUGUUUGCUUUAAGACAGCCAAACACCAUUGCACUCUGGAUGUUCUGACCCCUGCAAUUUCCCCAAAUGUGGGAAACUCGACUGCAUAGUUUGUGGUAGUGGGGGACUGCGUUCACGCUCUCCCCUU
This 159-nucleotide small nuclear RNA is filed under the name Castor canadensis (American beaver). Its description in RNAcentral is "U1 spliceosomal RNA (ENSCCNG00000022744.1)". It matches the Rfam family "U1 spliceosomal RNA". Rfam says of the family: U1 is a small nuclear RNA (snRNA) component of the spliceosome (involved in pre-mRNA splicing). The record is from Rfam by way of RNAcentral. Lineage: Eukaryota; Metazoa; Chordata; Mammalia; Rodentia; Castoridae.